GGAGCCGGCGCACGGCGCCGGGCACCGCGCUGCCCACCGUCAGUCCCCCUGUCCCCUCUGAAGCCUUCCCUUACCGGUUCGAAGCGCCGGUCUCCACGCGAGCCCCGCCGGCGGCGCCGAGGGGGUGGCGGAGCCGACCCGCGUCGUACAGGGGCUGCUCGGUCGGGGGAAGGUGGCUGAGGGCUGUCAGGCUUCACCUGCGGGGACAGACAGCCCGGCCCGGCUGUCCCUCGUGUCCGGCCUGAGAAGGCGCUGAGGGUCACCAGUGCGGUCAAAACCGGCUCCCCUCGUCAAGGCGCCGUGUAAACACGAGGUUUAUACACGAGGUUUAAACACGACCGGACCGUUAAAAAGUGAACACGAGGAGAACUUUCCAGGCGAUGUGAAACACAGAUAGGACAUUUUGCUCCUUUGUGGUGUGGCUGGACACUAAGAUGACCUAGCAGGAACUGAGAAAAAUUGAGAGAAGAGGGGAGGUAGCCGUCUGCAGUCCUGAUUUUUCCUGCAUCUGCUAUGGACUGAACUCACAGUAAGCUUGCUGUAAUGAACGGCAUGUCCCCGGGAAUUGCCAACUUCCCAUGCUUGUUACCAUAUUUUGGCAUCUUUGUUACUUAUGUGUUUCCUAUGCCUGUCAGAAGAGAGAAGGUAUAUUACAACCUCCUGAAAGCUGAUGUUGAGGUAAAAUGGCUGGAGGCAAGCUGGCUGUUGGGAGUUCUGAUUCUUGGCUUGACAAUGUGGAGUUACAGGACAAACACUGUGGAGUAGGACACUUCUGCUUAUAGGAUCAGUACCAAAAUAACUAACUGGUGGCAUUUGAAUACAUAACAUCAUUAGUCUUCAGACUCAACGAGCUCCAAGUUUUUCUGAAAUUUUGCAAUUUCCAAAGUUCUGCUUUCAGUCACAUAUACAAUAGUAUUUUAAAUUUCCAUUGAGGUAUUGCUUUUAAGUUUGUCUACUGUGUAGUAAAUGCUGAGAUAAAGCUAAAAAGAUAGUGCCCAUAUUAAAAUACUAUACCAUCCACAUCUACAGUACCUUUUGUUUCUUUAUACUGCUGCAUUGACUGUGAAAUCAGCACAUCAUUGAUAUUGUGGGAAAUUAUAACAACAUACCUUUACUUGCAGUUCAGUGUCAAAAAAAAAAGUGUGCAGACUCAUGGUGUGUCACAGGACUGUCUUAUGACUUCCCGGAGUGUUUAAUUACCUUACAUUUUGGAUAUUAUAUGCAAGGUUUCAGAGAAUAAGUGCAGAGCCUAAACUUUUAUUUGCUUCUUAG
This 1272-nucleotide long non-coding RNA is filed under the name Cyanistes caeruleus (blue tit). Its description in RNAcentral is "lncRNA (ENSCCEG00000012474.1)". Lineage: Eukaryota; Metazoa; Chordata; Aves; Passeriformes; Paridae. The record is from RNAcentral.